AAAUAUUCCCUUUUGAUGCCAUUUUUUGUACACUUUAUUAAAGGGAAUAUCAUUUACUCACACACACAGAUAUUCAACCUUAUUUCUCUACAUUAAAGCUCUAUUUUCUUUUCAAAAAGGCUCAGAUUCCAUAAGUCUUGAAAAACUUCAAGCCCUCUAAUUUUCUAAUUCUUUACAAGUUCAAAAUAUGAGUUGAGGUGGAGGAUUUCCCUGUUUCCUUUAGCUAGUUUUCUGGUUUCAAAAUUAUCUUCAUUUUGUGUGGGUGUGCUGUUGUGUUUUUCUGGUUGUUGCUGCUGAAGUUUGGCUUCCUUUCUCUUUUGGUCUUCUUGACCUUUAUUUGAUCAUCACUCUGCUAUAUUUUUCAGUUUCAAGGUAUGUAUAAUAUUCAUCUUGAAUGGAAUCAAUUUUGAUUUAAAAUUCUUUAGUUGGAAUUUGGUUGGUUAGCUGAUCUCUGAUGUUAGUUCUAAAAAUCAUGACUUGGUUGAAUCUAGGGUUGAUUAAGCCAUGUGUUAAUAUUAGCUUAAAUGGUUGUUGAAUUUAAUUAUGAAAUCUGUAAUAUUGUGUUGUAGAUGUGUUAAAACUUGACAAAGUUUAUUGUUGAAUAAGUGUAUAUACCUAUAAUCCUCUCCUAUAGCAGCAC
Molecule: long non-coding RNA, 640 nt
Filed under: Nicotiana benthamiana
Lineage: Eukaryota; Viridiplantae; Streptophyta; Magnoliopsida; Solanales; Solanaceae
Description: long non-coding RNA (NBEN_LNC035031)
Source: RNAcentral